GCAGCUCCCCGCACCGCGCCGGGCCGCGGCCGCGGUGGGUGUGCGCGCACGGUGGGGGGGGAGGCUCGGCGCUCCUGAAAUAACAUCUUCCUCGCAGCAAGGUAGCAGCAGAAACGGCCCCUUUGUUUUGGUAAUUAGCCGAGCCCGGCCCGGGAAAGCAGAUGUGUUUGCUUAGCUAAUCAUAAGACAAGUUUCUUUCAAAGAACUUCAUUGAGCGAUCGCGACUGUGCAGGCAGGAGCAGGGUUUCUUGCUCCUGACCUCCAGCCUUCGCACACUGCUCCACGACCAGACCUUCCCUACGCAGGCACGCGAGGGUGACCAAGCUGAGGGCCUUUCCCCAGAAAAUCCACGCGUGACCAACAGCAGGGUUAGGCGCACGGGGCUGAUGGUGUGCCACUGCAGCACAGUCCUUCCUAAAACCACAGAGCAACCGCCAGCUUCGCUCCUCCGCCCCCAUCCCGGCAUUAGACAGGUAAAUACACCACAAUACAUCUGCUACAAACUUACUGUGACAAGCAAACAAAUCAAUCGCCUAUGGACUGAAAUGACUGCAAACUAUAUAGCGAAGUAAGGUGGUUUCUGAAAGACAUUUAUGACAGCCAAACAAGUUUCAGAUAUCAAAUAAUAUUUUAAUUUCUGAAUACUUUCAAUUUUCCUUGGAAUAUAACACACAAAGACUCGACCAAACAGUUCAGUUAUUAUAACUUUUACAGUAUACAGAAAUGUUGCACUUAAAAAAAAACCUUCAGUUUUUUUAAACACAAAACUGUAAACUCUAAGAUACUGAAUCAAUCACGUUAUCUAUAAGUGCCAACAGUGUUAUUUUGUCAUGCUGAUUUCAAUGGUAUUUUUUAAAAAGGGAAAAUAUCAACAAUUAUUAUAAUACAAAGGGCUUGCAAAUAUACAAACAGAUAGAGGAGUUUAAUAACAAUUCAUGAAGAACUAUGUGGAACCCAAUUCAAAUUACAAAAGUUCACUUUGCUCGUUUGUUUGCUUUUAAAUCAAAACCGUAGUGUGUCUUGGACACAAUUCCUUCUACCUAUAAUAAAUCCCCACAGUUCAUUUUCUGUCUGAAAUAU
RNAcentral lists this long non-coding RNA (1080 nucleotides) under Dromaius novaehollandiae (emu). Its description in RNAcentral is "lncRNA (ENSDNVG00000011934.1)". Lineage: Eukaryota; Metazoa; Chordata; Aves; Casuariiformes; Dromaiidae. The record is from RNAcentral.